Molecule: ribosomal RNA, 542 nt
Filed under: uncultured bacterium
Lineage: Bacteria
Description: bacterial SSU rRNA
Rfam family: Bacterial small subunit ribosomal RNA
Source: RNAcentral
AGAGUUUGAUCCUGGCUCAGAGCGAACGCUGGCGGCGUGCUUAACACAUGCAAGUCGAGUGCGCGUUCCUGUAGCAAUACAGGAAUGGCGCACGGCGCACGGGUGCGUAACACGUGGGCAAUCUGCCCUCCGAUGGGGAAUAACCCCGCGAAAGCGGGGCUAAUACCGCAUAACAUUCCGGGAACCCUGGUUUCCGAAAUCAAAGCCGCAAGGCGUCGGAGGUGGAGCCCGCGCACGAUUAGCUAGUUGGCAGGGUAACGGCCUACCAAGGCGAUGAUCGUUAGCUGGUCUGAGAGGAUGGCCAGCCACACUGGAACUGAGACACGGUCCAGACUCCUACGGGAGGCAGCAGUGGGGAAUCUUGCGCAAUGGGCGAAAGCCUGACGCAGCGACGCCGCGUGGGGGAUGAAGCUUCUCGGAGUGUAAACCCCUUUCGACCGGGAAGAAUACCUCGCAAGAGGGGUGACGGUACCGGUAGAAGAAGCCCCGGCUAACUACGUGCCAGCAGCCGCGGUAAGACGCAGGGGGCCAGCGUUGCUCGG